RNA transcript from Rhodamnia argentea, 1690 nucleotides. It is a transcript of the gene named E3 ubiquitin-protein ligase RZF1-like, with no coding region annotated. Lineage: Eukaryota; Viridiplantae; Streptophyta; Magnoliopsida; Myrtales; Myrtaceae. The transcript has 3 exons. The record is from RefSeq and is a predicted model, not a curated record.
UAACAAGUUUGCCCGUUCGAUUGCUCGUCAAAAGCAAAGUCUAGAAGUGCACAGGAAGAAAGCCCGCGAGGAUUUGCAUUAGCUUCAGUUUAUCCUCUUUGAUGAGACGAUGACGAAGGAAGACAAAGUGGCUAUCCAAAGAAACAUCGCACGGGGAGAAGGAAUCGCCUCCCCUGAAUCCUAAGCCAUUCCUUUCUGCUGUUGAAUUGAAUGUGGAUUCACCCACAAGAACCUAACUAAAAUCGACAAGCAAGGAAUCCAAACCCAUUUCCCGCACGCCCAAUAUAAAUGCCCCUCUCUUCUGUUCAUCAUCUCACCCCUUUUUCUUCAUCAGCCAAAAGAAUAAGAAUCCCCGAAACUCUCCUCCUCGCCCCCGCUACCAUGUCAUCUGCCCGUCGUCCUCCUGUAGUCGUCAAUGGAAUCAGGAGAAUGAGGACUUUCCAUUACUAUUGGUGUCGUGUAUGCCAGCGGGCCGUUCGGCUCGCGUGUAAUGAUCCAUACGACACAUCUUGUCCCUUCUGUUUCAACGAACUGCAUUGCGAGCUCGAUGUGUCGAGGCCAAGAUUAGUGGCUGAUCUUGGAGGCCGCGUGCCCAAUCGGGCUGUUCAAUUACUCGAUAGCAUGGCUCGGCUGCUCGACCAACCCCCGACGAUGAGGCAGGGUUUUGAUUUUGGCAGGACGGUCAUAUGGGAAACAGAAAGCGGAGAUGGCCCAUUUUCAAGUUCGCGAGAUACACUGCAGUUCUUCGAACGACCUCGCCGGCCGGGGCUUGUCCAUCCACGAGAGAACCCGGCACCUAGAGCGAAUCUUAGGAGCAAUGACAGCGGCGAUGAGAAUUCCUUGAAUGAGCUUAUCGAAGAGUUGACACAGAAUGACCGCCCGGGACCCCCUCCUGCACCUGCUUCAUCUAUCGAAUCCUUACCCACGGUUGAAGUAACCGAAAAACAUCUGAGCAGCGACAUGCACUGCCCCGUAUGCAAGGAAGAGUUUGAGAUCGGAGGCGGCGAAGUAAGGGAGAUGCCGUGCAAGCACUUUUAUCAUUCGGAUUGCAUCGUCCCGUGGCUGCACAUCCACAACACAUGUCCCGUCUGCCGCUACCAACUCCACGAAUCUUCUGGCGACAAAUUUCCCGACGAUGGCGACGAACUGUCUGAUGUCGAGCAAAGUACAAGCUGGAUGAACUCGUGGUGGAGUGACUUGUUUUCUUCGUGGCCGUUCCAAGCAUUCUCACGAUGGAUCCAUGAAGCCCUCGAUGUUCCUGAACAGGGGGCAGGCACUUUGGACGGGGGUAGAUCCUGGUGGCACUCCUGGUUCGUCAUAUAACUUCGUUGCAUUAAGGCAAGGACAUGGCUACUCCGUCGAUGGUUCAUGUCCUACAAACUCACAUAGCUCAGUUCAUCUCAUUGAAUGCAUGGUGCAUCAGGCAGAGCAGAGCAGCAAUUGGAUCUCCAUGGCGUGAAGGGUCGAUAACUUCAACCUUAUCAGAAACUUGAGCUUCAUACAGAUUUUCAACCCCAGAAGGAGAUAGAGAGGGAACUAUCACCAGCUGAAACUUACCCAUCAGGAAAGAAAUGUGGAAUAAUUUGUGUUGUUAUGGCAAUUAGUUUUCUUUUGGAGAUCAGUGAGCAUAUGAAUCUACAAUUCAUGGAUCAUAACCAUAUUGACUGAUUAUUAAAAAGCUUUCCAAAUU